GACGAACGCUGGCGGCGCGCUUCAAGCAUGCAAGUCGAACGAGAAACCCGGGCUUGCCCGGGUGGAGAGUGGCGAACGGGUGAGUAACACGUGAGGAACCUGCCCCGAAGACCGGGAUAACGCCGGGAAACUGGUGCUAAUACCGGAUGUCUUCGCCGGAUCGCAUGGUCUGACGAAGAAAUGGAUUCCGCUUUGGGAUGGCCUCGCGGCCUAUCAGCUUGUUGGUGGGGUGAAGGCCCACCAAGGCGACGACGGGUAGCUGGUCUGAGAGGAUGUCCAGCCACACUGGGACUGAGACACGGCCCAGACUCCUACGGGAGGCAG
Molecule: ribosomal RNA, 324 nt
Filed under: uncultured Actinomycetes bacterium
Lineage: Bacteria; Bacillati; Actinomycetota; Actinomycetes
Description: bacterial SSU rRNA
Rfam family: Bacterial small subunit ribosomal RNA
Source: RNAcentral